RNAcentral lists this ribosomal RNA (253 nucleotides) under uncultured bacterium. RNAcentral's name for it is "partial 16S ribosomal RNA". It matches the Rfam family "Bacterial small subunit ribosomal RNA", at positions 524 to 776 of the family's 1533-position model. The record is from RNAcentral.
UACGAAGGGGGCUAGCGUUGUUCGGAUUAACUGGGCGUAAAGGGUGCGUAGGCGGGGUUUUAAGUCAGGGGUGAAAUGCCGAGGCUCAACUUCGGAACUGCCUUUGAUACUGGAACUCUUGAGUCUGGGAGAGGUGAGUGGAACUGCGAGUGUAGAGGUGAAAUUCGUAGAUAUUCGCAAGAACACCAGUGGCGAAGGCGGUUCACUGGCCCGGAACUGACGCUGAGGCACGAAAGCGUGGGGAGCAAACAGG